AGUGGCGGACGGGUGAGUAACGCGUGGGAAUCUGCCCUCAGGAGGGGGAUAACGGCUGGAAACGGCCGCUAAUACCCCAUAUGCCGAGAGGUGAAACGAAUUUCGCCUGAGGAUGAGCCCGCGUCUGAUUAGCUAGUUGGUGGGGUAAGAGCCUACCAAGGCGACGAUCAGUAGCUGGUCUGAGAGGAUGAUCAGCCACACUGGGACUGAGACACGGCCCAGACUCCUACGGGAGGCAGCAGUGGGGAAUUUUCCGCAAUGGGCGAAAGCCUGACGGAGCAACGCCGCGUGAGGGACGAAGGCCUCUGGGCUGUAAACCUCUUUUCUCAAGGAAGAAGAUCUGACGGUACUUGAGGAAUAAGCCACGGCUAAUUCCGUGCCAGCAGCCGCGGUAAUACGGGAGUGGCAAGCGUUAUCCGGAAUUAUUGGGCGUAAAGCGUCCGCAGGCGGCUUUGUAAGUCUGCUGUCAAAGCGUGGAGCUUAACUCCAUUUCGGCAGUGGAAACUACGAGGCUUGAGUGUGGUAGGGGCAGAGGGAAUUCUCGGUGUAGCGGUGAAAUGCGUAGAUAUCGGGAAGAACAUUAGUGGCGAAGGCGCUCUGCUGGGCCAUAACUGACGCUCAUGGACGAAAGCCAGGGGAGCGAAAGGGAUUAGAUACCCCUGUAGUCCUGGCCGUAAACGAUGAACACUAGG
This 692-nucleotide ribosomal RNA is filed under the name uncultured bacterium. Its description in RNAcentral is "bacterial SSU rRNA". It matches the Rfam family "Bacterial small subunit ribosomal RNA", at positions 94 to 820 of the family's 1533-position model. The record is from RNAcentral.